This is an RNA transcript of Cryptomeria japonica (Japanese cedar), 2636 nucleotides long. It is a transcript of the gene named exocyst complex component EXO70B1, with no coding region annotated. The record is from RefSeq and is a predicted model, not a curated record. Lineage: Eukaryota; Viridiplantae; Streptophyta; Pinopsida; Cupressales; Cupressaceae. The transcript has 3 exons.
GCUAAUGAAAAAAAAAGUGUUGGUACAAGAAAAGAAAAGGAUCAACGUUUGGUCAAAAUGCGAAAAUCCCACUGAAUCUUUCUUCCAUAAGCGGAUACUGAAAACGAGGCCGGCGAACAACGAGGGUUUGAAUCGUCUACGCUGCACAUGAUCUCUGAAAGAAAGGUACAUAAAUACUUGUGAAUCUAUUGAAGUUUGUCCAAAAAUGGAAAAUAGGAAAGAGGCUUAGAUGAUAAUUGAUGAUUAGGUGUGGUUUGAUUUUCGGAAAUUCUUCUGCCUAUAAUAAUUCUCGUGUUGUGGAAGACACGGAGCUUCCUGGAUGUUUUGUAAACCCUAACUAAUUGGAAAAUAGUUCAUGGAAGAUGAAUCUUUAUCUAAAACGGGGUAGACACGGUAGUUAAAAUUAGCAUAAGCUAAGAUUACUUAUACGGUACGCCAUGGCUGAGGGGGAUGGAAAAGUUGGUGAAGUGUAUGCCAUAACGGACGACAUGGAUCGAAUCUUUUCGAAGCUAGACAGUCCGUUUUCCUGCAUGAGAAGUUCUAAGAAUUAUCGGAAGAAUGAGGGUUUUGUGGUGCCUGAGAAUGUGGAGGAAGUGUUAGGGUGUCUGGAGGAGAGGAUCGUGAAGAAAUGGGAGGGCGAGGGUUUGAUUUGGAGUGAGGAGACGAAGGAGGUGGAUUUGUAUAUGAAGGCGAUUGAUGAUGUGCAGAAUUUGGUUGACGGGUUGUUGGAGAUGCCGGAGGAGGGUAAGGAUUUGACAUCUUUGCAACGGGCGGAGAAUAUUUUACAUCAGGCUAUGGCGCAUCUUGAGGAGGGGUUUAAGGCGCUUUUGGAGAAGCAUAGUGAGAGUGUGGAUCCCGAUUGGCUCUAUGAUUCCAAGUCUGGACCUUCCUUCAGGUCAAAUUAUGAUGACAGGGCUUCGUGGAAUUCUGAUGAGAAAGAGGAGGAGGAGGACAAGGUGAAAGAAAAGGAGGAAAAGGAGAAGGAAGAGGAUGAGGAGAACGUGCCUGUUGCGCAGCCUGUCAGCGAUCUGAAUUUUACCAUCGACUUGCUGCCUGCUGAGGUAGUGAGUCUGUUGGGGGAAAUUGUGGUACGCAUGGAGAGAGCAGGGUACAUGACAGAAUGCCGCCAGGAAUAUACGAUAAUUAGGAAGGUGUUUUUGGAGGAGAGUGUUUUUAGGUUGGGGUUCGAGAAGAUGAGUAUCGAGGAGGUUCAGAAGAUUCAGUGGGAGCUGCUUGAGAUUGAGAUCUCGAAGUGGAUGCAGACGCUGAAGGUGUCAGUGAAUGUUUUCUUUGCAAGCGAGCGGAAGCUCUGUGAAAGGAUUUUUGCUGUUCUUCCUUCUGUUUCGGAGACAUGCUUCGGGGAGCUUGCUAAGGGAACAAUGUUUGAACUUCUCAGUUUUGGUGAGGCCGUGGCAAUCAGUCGGAGGGCUCCCGAAAAGCUCUUCAAAAUUUUGGAUAUGUACGAGACAUUGAGGGAUCUUAUACCUGAAAUAAACUCUGUAUUUUCUGGUGAAAUUUGUUCGGCAGUGAGGUCAGAAGCUUUUGCAGUUUGGAUGCUGUUGGGGGAAGCAGCCCGGGGAACAUUUGUGGAGCUUGAAACUGCAAUCCGGGGGGAAGUAGCCAAGAGUCCUGUACCUGGAGGAGCCAUUCAUCCUCUCACCCGGUAUGUCAUGAAUUACAUGAGGCUUGCAUGUGAUUACAGAGCAACACUUGAGCAGGUUUUCAAAGAACCUGACAUGUCUAAAGUUGCAGGAUCAGCGGACAGCCCUUUGGACAGCUCUGAUGAUUUUUCUUCUGAAAGGGGCAUAACCAACAGGGAUGACCUGUCCCCAUUAUCCAUCCAGACAAUUGCAAUUAUGGACCUCUUAGAAAACAAUUUAGAUGCAAAGUCAAGGCUUUAUAGGGAUCCAGCUCUGAGCUAUGUUUUUCUCAUGAACAAUGGACGUUAUAUUGUGCAAAAAGUUAAAAAUUCAGAAAUCCACAGUUUAUUGGGUGAUGAUUGGGUUCGUAAGCAUUCAUCUAAUGUCCGUCAGUAUCAUAAAGGCUAUCAGAGAGUUGCUUGGGGAAAGAUUCUUUCUUGUUUGAAAGAUGAAGGCAUUCACGUCAGUGGAAACUUCUCCAGUGGUGUCUCUAGACCUGUGCUGAAAGAGAGAUUCAAGAACUUUAAUGCUUUAUUUGAAGAAAUUCAUAAGACACAGUCAGCAUGGAUUAUUGGAGAUGAACAACUUCAAACUGAGUUACGAAUUUCUAUUGCAGAGAUGGUUAUUCCAGCUUAUCGUGCAUUUUUAGGCCGGUUUCAACAUUACCUGGAAAAUGGCAGACAUUCAGAAAAAUACAUCAAAUAUGGACCAGAAGAUAUAGAGGCUUACAUCAAUGAAUUGUUUGAAGGGCCAAGCUCCAUGACCCGCAGAAAAUCUUUUCCAAACUGAAGUGGUAAAAUUAUAUAGCAGUUUUGGAAGCAUUUCUGAAAUUUAUUGGGGUGCUCUAGUUGAGCAAUGCAGAGCCGGAUAGAAAUAAGGUAUCGAUUAUUUACCCUAAAAUAAAAGGAGGAAAAAAUGAAGAAAUUCUAUCUAGUUCAUGGAGAAUGAGAGAGUUAACAAUAUAUUUUGCUGGGCUUUUGCUAUUACAGACGUUGG